ACCCAAAACUGAGCCCUCUCU
RNAcentral lists this non-coding RNA (21 nucleotides) under Xenopus tropicalis (tropical clawed frog). The record is from RNAcentral. Lineage: Eukaryota; Metazoa; Chordata; Amphibia; Anura; Pipidae.